AUGGAAUCUCACUGGGCAAGCUUAGGCAAGUCACAUUCUCUCACCCUCAGAGCAAUGCAAUGGAAACCUCACUCUAGCAUUUCACAACCUGAGAGCAGCACAGGAGAAGGCCCUCUCCUAUAUUCCAUCAAGCAGGUCUCUUUAGACAGUGCCAUGGGGGGCUGCCAAUAUGCAGGAAUGCAAUAACAGAACUGUGUUCACCUUUGAGAAUUCAAGGAAUCAAGUAAUUGGAUGAAAGCAAUGAAGAGUCGUUGUUUCUACACCAUUGCACAGUAUUCUUUGAUAUAUUUUUUUGUAAUAGAAGAAGGAAACAAAACCAUUUUCUUCCCACUGUCUUCUUUUUUCUUUUUUUUAAAAGUAUCCUUAGCUUGCCUGCACAUUUUGGGGUUAUGACAUUCUUGGCCCCACUUAACAAGACUCACAUUGUUGGGAUGGAAGGACAGCAGGAGAGAAUACAGAUGUUGAUUUCACCCAGUUUUUAAUGAAAUCAAGGCCCAAAAGGGCUCUAUAAACAGAGGAUUAUGUUUGGGAAACAGAAGAACUCAUUUCCUUUUGAUAGGUUGGAGAGAAUUUAACCAAUCUGUGUUUAUAAUUACUGCCUAGUUUAUUUAGUGUGAAAGAAUUGACUUGUUAUCCAUUUAUAAAUAAACAGGUUGAGAUCACUUUCGUACCCGGCAGCAGCCCUGUUACUGUUUAUUUCUCUCUUUUUCCUAACAUUCAUUUAAUGCCUAAACUGUGAUUUUGUUUAAUUCCACCAUAUUCUAGUAAUUUGGCUCCCCCAAAAUUAAAAGCCCUUGGACAAGUUUACAAAGUUUGAAAACCUUAUCAUUAUCAUUUCUAGUAAAACAAUUUGCCUCAUUCAAAAAAUAAACUGCUCUUAGUUAAAAAUAGCCUUGUGGCAGAGGGUGGGAAAUCUGCUGUCCACAUUUUGGGACUUGGUAAGUCACCAAAGAUAUCAUUUCUUUUGGCACAAACCUGAGUGAGCAAAGUUGCUACUGCUAGUUGAUCAUGAACCCAAAUCAAAUUAAUAGACUUUGCAGGCUGUAGCUCCUAUGAGGGCUGCCCCAGCUCAGUGCAGAAUUUACACUCAAACUAAGAGACAACAAUCUUAGCUUGAAGCUUCAACAUGGCAUCCUGGUUCAGAGGCACUUAAGACUGGCCAUUUGGGCUACUUAAAUUGUAAAUGGCUGUUUGGGCCACCUAACAAAUUACAUUUACCCUUACUAAGAAAAUCUAACACUUACUUGAACAUAAGGAAAGCUCCUCACCCUGAGUCUUUGAAAUAUUUGUGAAUCUGAAUUUUUAUAAAUCUACCUUGUCAAACAGAGAAGAAAUACUUAUAGCACAUGCUUUUGAAAAGAAACCAGUUCAAAUAUUGGUUGAAUAGUAAUUGCAACAGUGCGUGAGCCUGUCUGGGCCUUGUGUAUGUAUGCUAAAUUAAACAUGGGGGUGUACUACAGAAGUACCACCCUUAUAUUGCUGUUUAUACAGUACGACUCCUUUAUCUAUGAGGAAUAUAUUUCAGGAGUCUAUGUAAAUACGUGAAAGCACACGUAAUAGUGAACCCCAUUGAAUGAACAACAUCCAAAAGAAGCAUACCAUAGAGUCACUCCGGAGGGUCUAGGAAAUUCCCGGAGAGGACACCUCUAUAGGCAUCACUACAUUCUCCAUCAAAACUCUAUGGUCAACAUCCAGUAGCAUGCCAUAGAAUCACCAAGAGAAGAUCUAGAAAAUGCCUAGAGAGGACAUAUUUUGUCAGAUGUGGAUAAAUAAAACCACAAGUACUGGUCCCACAGAUAUGGUGGCAGGACUGUAGUGAGCUCCUCAGGUACAGAGUAGUUUUUCUGAAAGGGAGAACCUCACAGAUAGAUGAAAGUAUGCUCUUCAGC
RNAcentral lists this long non-coding RNA (1889 nucleotides) under Anolis carolinensis (green anole). RNAcentral's name for it is "lncRNA (ENSACAG00000040086.1)". The record is from RNAcentral. Lineage: Eukaryota; Metazoa; Chordata; Lepidosauria; Squamata; Anolidae.